AGUAGCUAGACUGCAAAAGGUUCACAGGAGAAUCUCAAAUUUAGAAAAAAAUAAUAUAGCUUAUAAAUAAUUUAUGAUAUAUAUUAUGUACAAAAUAUAUUUUUUAUUUUUUAAAUUAUUUUUAAAAUAUAUAUAGUAUAGAUAUUAAUAAAUUAUUAAAAUAAAAUAUUUUUUAAAAAAUUAUAUUACGUGUAUGGCAUG
Molecule: long non-coding RNA, 201 nt
Filed under: Elaeis guineensis (African oil palm)
Lineage: Eukaryota; Viridiplantae; Streptophyta; Magnoliopsida; Arecales; Arecaceae
Description: long non-coding RNA (EGUI_LNC007412)
Source: RNAcentral